This 53-nucleotide microRNA precursor is filed under the name Heligmosomoides polygyrus. RNAcentral's name for it is "microRNA hpo-mir-10134 precursor (hpo-mir-10134-1)". Lineage: Eukaryota; Metazoa; Nematoda; Chromadorea; Rhabditida; Heligmosomidae. The record is from miRBase by way of RNAcentral.
UAACUCAAGGCGGUUUUCAUGAAUGAAUGAAACAUGAAGCCCUCUUGAUAAGC